RNAcentral lists this ribosomal RNA (1292 nucleotides) under Plasmodium ovale wallikeri. RNAcentral describes it as "SSU rRNA". It matches the Rfam family "Eukaryotic small subunit ribosomal RNA", at positions 226 to 1421 of the family's 1831-position model. Lineage: Eukaryota; Apicomplexa; Aconoidasida; Haemosporida; Plasmodiidae. The record is from RNAcentral.
AAGAGAAAAGUUUACAACUUAAGAAAUUAUAACAAAGAAGUAACACAUAAUAAGUUUACCUUAUUUAGUGUGUAUCAAUCGAGUUUCUGACCUAUCAGCUUUUGAUGUUAGGGUAUUGGCCUAACAUGGCUAUGACGGGUAACGGGGAAUUAGAGUUCGAUUCCGGAGAGGGAGCCUGAGAAAUAGCUACCACAUCUAAGGAAGGCAGCAGGCGCGUAAAUUACCCAAUUCUAAAGAAGAGAGGUAGUGACAAGAAAUAACAAUACAAGGCCAUUUCAUGGUUUUGUAAUUGGAAUGAUGGGAAUUUAAAACCUUCCCAAAAUUCAAUUGGAGGGCAAGUCUGGUGCCAGCAGCCGCGGUAAUUCCAGCUCCAAUAGCGUAUAUUAAAAUUGUUGCAGUUAAAACGCUCGUAGUUGAAUUUCAAAGAAUCAAUAUUUUAAGUAAUGCUUUUGGUAUAAGAUGCUUAGGCAAUACAACGUAUCUGCUCUUUGCAUUCCUUAUCCAAAAUGUGUUCUUAUUAUAAAAAGGAUUCUUUUUAAAAUCUCCUUUACUUUUUGUACUGGAGAUUUUGUUACUUUGAGUAAAUUAGAGUGUUCAAAGCAAACAGUUAAAGCAUUUUACUGCGUUUGAAUACUACAGCAUGGAAUAACAAAAUUGAACAAGUCAAAACUCUGUUCCUUUUUCUUAUUUUGGCUUAGUUACGAUUAAUAGGAGUAGCUUGGGGGCAUUUGUAUUCAGAUGUCAGAGGUGAAAUUCUUAGAUUUUCUGGAGACAAACAACUGCGAAAGCAUUUGCCUAAAAUACUUCCAUUAAUCAAGAACGAAAGUUAAGGGAGUGAAGACGAUCAGAUACCGUCGUAAUCUUAACCAUAAACUAUGCCGACUAGGUUUUGGAUGAAAGAUUUUUAAAUAAGAAAAUUCCUUUUGGAAAUUUCUUAGAUUGCUUCCUUCAGUACCUUAUGAGAAAUCAAAGUCUUUGGGUUCUGGGGCGAGUAUUCGCGCAAGCGAGAAAGUUAAAAGAAUUGACGGAAGGGCACCACCAGGCGUGGAGCUUGCGGCUUAAUUUGACUCAACACGGGGAAACUCACUAGUUUAAGACAAGAGUAGGAUUGACAGAUUAAUAGCUCUUUCUUGAUUUCUUGGAUGGUGAUGCAUGGCCGUUUUUAGUUCGUGAAUAUGAUUUGUCUGGUUAAUUCCGAUAACGAACGAGAUCUUAACCUGCUAAUUAGCGGCGAAUACGUUAUAUUCCUACUUGAAAUUGAAUAUAGCUGAAUUUGCUUAUUUUGAAGAAUA